Molecule: long non-coding RNA, 1414 nt
Filed under: Calidris pugnax (ruff)
Lineage: Eukaryota; Metazoa; Chordata; Aves; Charadriiformes; Scolopacidae
Description: lncRNA (ENSCPUG00000016820.1)
Source: RNAcentral
CCCCAGCCGAACAGUCCCAGCGCGACCCAAAGCGCUGCCAGGCAAAGGGCCGCUCCGGCCCGCGGGCGGCACCGGGCCCAGGCCGUUGUGCCGCUCUGCCUGGGGGACGGGCGCCUGCCCGCGAGGGGAGUGGGCCCCGGCCCCGCUCGGCCGCGGCGUUCCGCGGGGCCUCCCCGCUGCCGAGGGUGGUAGAAGCGGCCCCGGGUCAACGGAAGCCGACGCGCCCGGCUUAGCCCUGCUCUGCCCCCGCCCGCUGCGCCUCACCUGAGCCGCCCCCGGCGCCACCGUCCCUCACAUGCCGCCGCGGCCCCUCACACCCCUUUGUUGUCCUCCCUCCUCCCUCUCUGCUCCUUCUGCCGUCAAGCAACGCCGAGCGCCGGAAAGCACCCCACUGCCGCAAAAGCAGCUGUCGUAACGCUCCGCUCUGCUUCCCUCCCUCCUCCUCCUUCUCCUGGCCGCGUAAGAGGCCAGUCCUGGCAGGGAGCGGUGGCUUUUGAACCCUCCCCAGCCCCGGGGCUCCCGGCGGCCCUCGGCAUGUGGGGCGGGGCCGGGCGACAUCCCGACCCGGGGUUAGGGGGGGGAGCUGUGCCCAGCUGGAGGGAGCCUGGGGCUGCCUCAGGGGGUGGGAGGCGGCACCUGAGGGGAUGAGGCAGGCCACGCUGAAGGUCCCCUGGCGGGACCGCUUAGCACCAUCCCUGUGCCCCCUUACACCGGGACCCCCCAACAUUACACCCAGAGCGGGGGGUCUCAGUCCGGGCACACCUGAGCCCAGUGGGGAGUCUGCCCCGGAGGGGUCUCCGGGAGGGCCUGUGGAGAGGCCUGGACUCCCCGCAGAAGCCUGGGCAGGUGUGCUCUCUGCUCGGGUGUGCUCACUGCUCAGGUGUGCUCGGGUGUGGUCUCUGCUCAGGUGUGCAGCAGACAGGGAGGAAAUUGCCACAGCAUUGAACUGGCCUCUUACAGGAAACAAAUGCCAGACACGCCUCAUGACCAGGUGUUUGCGCACACGGCGGGGAAGGAGCACGCUGGGGAAAGGCUCCGCACACCUGGGUCCCCUUCGCACCCACCCUGCGUGAGGAGAGGGCACGGUGAGUGAUUCGUGGGCUGUGUGGAGCUGCAGCCCCGGCCCUUUGUCUGUGGGGAGCUCCUAUCCCCUGCGGGGGCUUGCAGCUUGUUUUCUGGAAUGGUGACAUCACGCUUAGAGGAGGGCAAGCGUCUAAUAUUUCAUAGGCUGCUUUGUCCUUGCGACCCGGGAUUCGGUGACACAGGCGCCUGUUCUUUGGUUGUGAAAAGGGGACUUUAGUGUAAAAACCUUGCACGGAUAUUUAGGAGUCACAAUCUCACUGCUUGCUCUUUCAGCAGAGGCUUUUGGAAUAACACUAAUAAAAAUAAUGAUAUUUGAUGUAAAGCUUUUCCU